CAUUCCCUGCGGUGUUCGAAGAUGGCCUGGGUAUUUUCUUGAGCCUAUUCAUCGCCCUGGGGGCAUGACCGUGGAGCCGUUGCGCAUGUCCGCCUUGAGCGGGAAGCCUGAAGCGAAGCCGACUGUCCCCACUUGAACCUACCGGUUCAAGAACAAAGGCCUUGGCGGCACAGGCGGGGAAUGU
This 184-nucleotide non-coding RNA is filed under the name Chromatiaceae bacterium. Its description in RNAcentral is "6S RNA". It matches the Rfam family "6S / SsrS RNA". From Rfam's summary of the family: E. coli 6S RNA was the first non coding RNA to be sequenced, but its function was unknown until recently. Lineage: Bacteria; Pseudomonadati; Pseudomonadota; Gammaproteobacteria; Chromatiales; Chromatiaceae. The record is from RNAcentral.